CUCUCUGGGGCUCUCUCAGAUUCUCUCUCUGGUUCGCUUGAUUGUGAGGGACAUCAGGGAAAAUGGUGGCGGUUAUAGCAACGGUGACGACGCCAUCGUCUCUCUCUUCACCGGAGCGGAGGCGUUCUCUUGAAGAUUUCUUGGAUUUCCAGCGGAAACGAGAGAACGGGUUUCUCCCUCUCGAUCACUCUCUCGACGGGGUCUCGAAUCUCCGGCGAAAACCAGAGAACUGGUCUCUCCCUCUCAAUCGCUCUCGGUUCCGGUGUUUCUGAGAGUUUUUCGACGGAUUUCUCUUUCGCUCUGAGGCAAGGAUUGGUGACAUCGGUGACAAUGCCCACGCUUAACUGAUCUUCUCUCUGGAUCGGGCUCACCGGAUCGGUGAGCUCUCUUUCUAUCACUCUCGAUCCGUUAGGGUUUCGAUUCUUGUUUCAACCCGUUCGAGUCGUGGAUUCUAAUCUCUCUCUCUCUCUUUCUCGAUCGCUCUCUUUGGUGAUCUUGCUCUCGGCCGGAUCUAACGGUCUCGUCGCGGAUCGCAUCCUUCCGGAGCUCGAGGUACUGGGGUUCGGAACCGCACCAAGUUUGGAGGUUUCGGUUCAUCUCUAAGGACAAAACUCCGAAACCCCUUAACGACAGCUGCUCUCUGUCUCUGGCUUGAUCAGGUUCUCUCUCUCGAUCGCUCUGUCUCGCGCUAGUUUUGUCGCUCUCUCUCUCUCUCUCUCGGACCGCUCUCUCUGGCUCGAAUCACGAUCUGUAUCUGGAAAACCGCUAGGUUUUGUAUCUGGUGUUGAAGUAGAUCAUGAUUUCAGUUGUAGAGUAGGACUAGUUGUGAUUGGAUUUCAUAGUCAAAAUAUAAGAGUGAUGUUGCUACGAAUGUUAGUCAUGAGAGGGCAAAAGAAAACUGAGGGUUUGAAUAAACAAGUAGGGGUUAUUAAUUCAAAGGUGGAGAUUGAGAACUUUAGAGUGAAAGCAGUAUCGUAUUGAAGAUACGCUAUUAAUUCGAGCCUGCUUGGAUUAUGAUGUGGUCGUGUGAUUUUAAAUCGCUAAUUCUCCCUUUGCGUUUUGGUCACUAAGCUGAGAUACCUGCCAUAUGUUUGUGAAAUGCCUGAAUGAAUAUCUGCAUAGUGUCUUCAUCAGUCUAUAUGCAAAAUGUUCAUGGCUUACUAAAUCAUGAUGCCCAUAUUGAUUUCAUCUUGCCUACUGUUGAUCCAAUCAAUCUGAAUAAUUUCAGCAUUAUGGCAUGUUUAAAACCUAUACCCAUUGGCAUCGCUAACUUUAAGUGAUAUUCGUUUCCACUUCGAAUCAGAUUGAGUUUUAGAAAGUAAUAAAUCUCUGUUUUGGUCUUGUUUUACUCAAAUUUGGGGAGUUUUCUCGAUCAAGUAGAGAUCUAUUGAUAGAUGAAACUAACGGUUGAAGUUGGCGGAUAUAAGCAGAAAUUUGUAGAAAUAGAAACAUGGUUUGUUACUUUUGUCUACCCUUUUAAGGUUGUAGGGUUUGCUGUGAUUCAUUGUUAAAACUACUCUUUGUGCAUUGUCUGGAUGGUUUUAUAAACCAUUAGUUAUGCAUUAUGAUUCUAAUUCAUUUGUGGUUAAUUUGUAUGUCCUCAUGAUGAUCAUUUUUCAACUAUCAAUUUGACGUCAAUUGGACUCAACUUCUCUUAAGAAGUAGGCUCGUUUUAAUCUUUCCUAUGAUGCUGAUCUCGCAUGAUUUGCGAUGAGUUGAUGACUUUUGAUGAUGAACAUUGAAGUUGAUUGAACUUGAUUUGCCUUAGUCUGCAAUUUCGUAUAUCUGAUAUGUCACUCUUUGUUUUGGCUGAAACGAGGUGCCAGAUGAGGUUUGUUGAUCUUGAGCUCUUCUAGACAUAAAAAAUACACUUCUAGAGCUUCGAUUUGAUAUGUCGCACGCCCAUAGUGGAUGUUGUUUGGUUGUUGAAAAAAAUUUUUGAAUUCUGUCAAUUCUGCAGCAGUUUUAGAUUGUUUUGCUGUUUCGACUUACUGAUGUUCUGUUUUGACUAGAACGAGUUGGUAAAUGAUGUUAUUAGGACUUAAUGUCUUCUAGAGAUUUGUAAUAGGGUUCUCAAGCUUUCCAUUGACAUAUUAUAUGUGCAAUUUGGUCAUCAUUUUCCCUGCCUUUCCUUCUUUUAAAUCGAGCUUUGAAAUCUGGAAUUUGUCUUGAACUGCAAUGCUGUCUUUUCUGUGGCUAGUUGCUGUUAGUCUUGAAACGAAAUAGUAGACGUGUCCAGUUACUUUCAAUAUGUUGUAGAAUGCCUAUGUUACAUAUUGCCCUGUUCUAUUAUAGACUGACUAGUUCAUGUUCUAGUAUUUUUAGAAAUUCAUGUGUUGAUAUGAUGAUAGUGUCUCUAUGAGAUUUAUUUGGGAUAUCACCUAGAAUUUGAUCUAGAGACUUUGUGACUUUAGUCACUCUUUUUGAAUACAAAAGAUGUCUUGCUUUUGAUUGUUUUGAUACGUGAUGUUUGUUUCUCUCAUUUGUAUGUACCUAGUUAUUAGUUUCUUGGACUAGAUUUAGAAUAAGUUCCUGAACAUGGAUAAAGCAUGAAGAGGGUGGAGGUCGAUGUCCAUUCCAACUGUUGUCAUGUACUAUUUUUUUUCCCGAUAUAUGUCUCGGGUUCCAUGCAUUGUAUAAAACCCGACGAGUUGCGGGUUUCAUUUCUUUCCCAAUUGUUUUCUCUUUUAUAUUUUGUGGCAUCCUAAAAUUCCUUGCCAGUCAUUAGGGGUGCUCAAAUUAAUGUCUUGUAUUAAGGACUAUGGCCGAGUUUUAGUGGAUAAAUUUUGGAAAAGGGUGGCCUAUCUUUGGCCAUAUGUAUUGUGAAUUAGAAUUUAUGGAUUUGUGAUUUCAAGUGUAUAGCUAUUUAAUUUUUACACUAUAGUACUUUGGUUCAAUAAGGAUUUAAUUAGUAUUAAAAAUGGGUUAAAAUUUGAUUUAAUUAGGCUUGGGUCUUAGGCCCAAUAGUGUGGACCUAUGAUGGGCCAAAAGGCCGGCCCAUGAAGCCAUGAAAGGCUGCUGUCGACCACAAGGAGAGAGGGGAGAGGCCGGCCCACCUUCAAGCCCAUAAUGCAUGGGUUUUGCCAAGUGGCAAAAAGGAGAGUCACACCAUUGGCCACU
Molecule: long non-coding RNA, 3120 nt
Filed under: Eucalyptus grandis
Lineage: Eukaryota; Viridiplantae; Streptophyta; Magnoliopsida; Myrtales; Myrtaceae
Description: long non-coding RNA (EGRA_LNC003688)
Source: RNAcentral